UGAACGCCGGCGGUGUGCCUAAUACAUGCAAGUCGUACGCACUGGCCCAACUGAUUAAUGGUGCUUGCACCUGAUUGACGAUGGAUCACCAGUGAGUGGCGGACGGGUGAGUAACACGUAGGUAACCUGCCCCGGAGCGGGGGAUAACAUUUGGAAACAGAUGCUAAUACCGCAUAACAACAAAAGCCACAUGGCUUUUGUUUGAAAGAUGGCUUUGGCUAUCACUUUGAGAUGGCCUCGCGUCCGAUUAGCUGGUUGGUGAGGUAACGGCCCACCAAGGCGACGAUCGGUAGCCGGACUGAGAGGUUGAACGGCCACAUUGGGACUGAGACACGGCCCAGACUCCUACGGGAGGCAGCAGUGGGGAAUAUUGCACAAUGGGGGAAACCCUGAUGCAGCGACGCCGCGUGGAGGAAGAAGGUCUUCGGAUUGUAAACUCCUGUCGUUAGGGACGAUAAUGACGGUACCUAACAAGAAAGCACCGGCUAACUACGUG
RNAcentral lists this ribosomal RNA (496 nucleotides) under uncultured bacterium. RNAcentral's name for it is "bacterial SSU rRNA". It matches the Rfam family "Bacterial small subunit ribosomal RNA", at positions 30 to 507 of the family's 1533-position model. The record is from RNAcentral.